Molecule: long non-coding RNA, 2508 nt
Organism: Phascolarctos cinereus (koala)
Lineage: Eukaryota; Metazoa; Chordata; Mammalia; Diprotodontia; Phascolarctidae
Source: Ensembl
GGAGCGAGGAGCGAUAGAGAAACGAGAGAGAGAGAAGGGGAGAGCGCGCGCGCGCGCGCGCCUCCCCCGCCCUCCUCGGCCGGGCUCGCUCCCGCACAAGUCCGCGCGUGCGUGUCCGGGGACAGCGAAUUGGCGAGCUCGCCUGCGCCCCAGGAUCCGGCCUUGCUCUAGCUGGGUUUCCACCCUCACCCCGCGACAGAGAGGAAGAGCAAGGCGACGAGCAGGCUGGGGAGGCGUGGGGCGUCACCUGGCACAGGAGGAGAUCCAGCUGCGACUACAGGGAGAGACUUCCUCCCUUUUCCCUCCCACUUGUUUCUUUAGGUCCUGCUGCUUUCACUUCCACGUUGUGCCAGCAGCCCCCUCCCUUGCGCUUCCCCACCCCAGGCAUCUUGGCAUUGAGAAAAGCAGAGGGCAUCUCAUAUUUUCCUGCCAGGUUGCAGGGAGAGCUCUUCACAUCGUUUAGCCACCUUCAGGCUUGCCCCAGGAGGUGGGCGUUGGUAGGGGCAGGGAGAAGGAGGGACAAUGAAAGACUGGAAAAUAAUGAAGGUAGAUUCUGCCCUCCCCAGUGGUGAGGCGUUGUGCAUUGCACAAUAGCAAGUCUGAUGAUACAGCUUCCUAACCAACAACGAAAUAGGCUCUUCUUGUAGAAGCAGGGUCAGUCAACAAGCAUUUAUUAAGCACUUACUAAACUAUAGGGAUGCACACUGACGCAGCAAGCUGGGAUGCAGGUUAGGUUUCCACUGCAGUUAAUGCUUGUUUUGUCAAACAAACAAGUUAAAUUUAGAUUUGAGUCCCAGCUCUGCUACUGUCAACCUCUGAGUCAGUUUCUCUAUCUUCGGGAUUUAAUAUAAUUUAAUGUAAUGAUGGGCAGCUAGGUGGCGCACUGGAGUCAGAGCUAGGAACCCAGGACUUGGGUGGGUCAGGAGAAUCUGAGUUCAAAUCCAUUAUCAAACAUGGGCAGGUCACUUAACCUUUCAGAGUCUCAAUUCCAUCUUCUGUAAAAUGGGGUGAUAAUAGCACCUAAGUCACAGUUGCUGUGAAGAUUAAGCAAAGUGCUUUGUACACUUAAAAGUGUUAUAUAACUACUACAUUAUUAUUAAUAUAAUAAUAUUAAUCUCUGAUAUCUUUUCUAGUUCUAAAUCCCAUGACUUUCUUCUAGCCAACCCUUAAACUGAAGAUCUCUUAAUUACCAAACCCAGUGGCAUUUUUUAGUCCUCAUAAUUCUGCUUCAUUUCGUGCUGCUGAUGGACUUCUCCUUCCUAUGUUUUUGUGACACUGCUGCCUCUUGAUUCUCCUCCUACUUUUCUGGACUUUCCUUCUCAGGUUCCUUUGUUGGGUCAUCAUCCUCUCCCUGGUCACUAAUCCUGAGGGUUUCUUUUCACUACCUUUCCCUCUCCCAUCCCAACCCAGUCUCUGUUCUUGGCCCUCAUAUACAUACUCAGGAGUGUAUACACACACACACACACACACACACACACACACACACACACACUCUUACACUUUUAGUGAGUAUACACUCUCAAGAAUCCCAUUAGCUCAUAUGGAUACACGUGCAUGUAGAUCUAGUCUAUAUUGAGAUAAAAUCCCACAUCAUCAACUGCCACUGGAUGUCCUCUUUGCAUCUUUUUUUUUUUAAAGGCAAUUGGGAUUAAGUGACUUGCCUAGGGUUACACAGCUAGUAAGUGUCUAGUGUUUGGUCUGAGGCUGGAUUUGAACUCAGGUCCUCCUGACUUCAGGGCUGGUGCUCUGUCACUGUGCCACCUAGCUGCCCCUAUGCAUCUCAAAUUCAACAUAUCUUUCCCCCCAAACCUACCCAUCUUCCUGAUUCCCAUAUGUAUGUCAAAGGCACCAUUAUCCUUCCAGUAACCCAGGUUCCCAACUUCAGAAUCUUCUCUGACUCCUUGCUCUUCAUCACUCUUCAUAUACAAUCAGUUGUCAAGUUUUAGCAAUCCUACCUCCAUGACAUCUCUAACACCCAUCCUCUUCUUUCUACUCACAUGGCCACCACCCUAGUUUAGGUCCUUAUCACUUCUCACCAAGCCUAUUUUAAUAACCUUCUAAUUGGGCUUCUUGUCUCCAGUCUCUUUCCUCUCCAAUCCAUCUGCCACACAACUGCCAAAGUGAUAUUCCUCAAGCGCAGAUCUGACCAUGAAAGUCUUCUACUCAAGAAACUCUGAUGGCUCACUCUUGCCAUUACAAUAACAUUGAAGCUCUUCUGUUUGACUUUUCAAGGUCUCCACAACUGUUCAGGUUUAUUAUACAAUAAUUCUUUGUUCAUUCAUUUUACAUUCCAGCCAAACUGGCUUAUUUACCGUUCUCUGCAUGUGAGAACCUAGGACAGAGUCCUCUCUCCUCCCCUUCCAUGUGUGGAAUGCAUUCCCUCCUCACCUCUUUCUCCUAAAUCUAUAACAUUCAGCUCAAGUAGUGUUUCCCCCAUGGGGUCUUUUCUGAUUCCCCUAGAAGAUAGUGUCAUUCCCUCCAAUAAACAUUGUAUUUGUAAAGCCUACA